RNAcentral lists this ribosomal RNA (459 nucleotides) under uncultured bacterium. RNAcentral describes it as "bacterial SSU rRNA". It matches the Rfam family "Bacterial small subunit ribosomal RNA", at positions 339 to 791 of the family's 1533-position model. The record is from RNAcentral.
AUACGGGAGGCAGCAGUGAGGAAUAUUGGACAAUGGGGGAAACCCUGAUCCAGUGACGCCGCGUGUGUGAAGAAGGCCUGCGGGUUGUAAAGCACUUUUAGUGGGGAUGAAAAGCCGAAGGCUAAUACCUUUCGGUCUUGACCUAACCUACAGAAAAAGCACCGGCUAACUCUGUGCCAGCAGCCGCGGUAAUACAGAGGGUGCAAGCGUUAAUCGGAAUUACUGGGCGUAAAGCGUGCGUAGACGGUUAUGUAAGUCAGGUGUGAAAGCCCCGGGCUCAACCUGGGAAUUGCAUUUGAGACUGCAUAGCUGGGUGCGGAAGAGGGAAGCGGAAUUUCCGGUGUAGCGGUGAAAUGCGUAGAUAUCGGAAGGAACACCAGUGGCGAAAGCGGCUUCCUGGUCCAGCACCGACGUUCAGGCACGAAAGCGUGGGGAGCAAACAGGAUUAGAUACCCCGGU